RNAcentral lists this ribosomal RNA (350 nucleotides) under Sphingobacteriales bacterium 46-32. RNAcentral's name for it is "bacterial SSU rRNA". It matches the Rfam family "Bacterial small subunit ribosomal RNA", at positions 1 to 343 of the family's 1533-position model. The record is from RNAcentral. Lineage: Bacteria; Pseudomonadati; Bacteroidota; Sphingobacteriia; Sphingobacteriales.
UUUACAAUGGAGAGUUUGAUCCUGGCUCAGGAUGAACGCUAGCGGCAGGCUUAAUACAUGCAAGUCGAGGGGCAGCAUGGUGUAGCAAUACACUGAUGGCGACCGGCAAACGGGUGCGGAACACGUACAGAACCUUCCUUCGAGCGGGGAAUAGCCCAGAGAAAUUUGGAUUAAUACCCCAUAGUAUAACGGAGUGGCAUCACUUUGUUAUUAAAGAUUUAUCACUUGAAGAUGGCUGUGCGGCUGAUUAGGUAGUUGGCGGGGUAACGGCCCACCAAGCCUGCGAUCAGUAACUGGUGUGAGAGCACGACCAGUCACACGGGCACUGAGACACGGGCCCGACUCCUACG